ACAUUUUUCAGGGACAACAUUAUGGUCUCAAUCGCUAGUAAAAAAUCUUCUUCAAGACAAUUUGAUGUCAAUAGUUCUAAUAAUGGCCCCAUUUAGAAGAAAAUAGAAGAUAAAGAAUCAUAUGAUUUGGGGCGUUUCUAGCUUUGAUUGACAGGUCACUGACAAGGCGAGCCGUCACCAGGAGAGAAGUAGAGCGUAUCCACGGCAACGUGUCAAUAAAGUUAUAUAUAACGUUAUAUAGAUAGAAAAGAGGACGUUUAGCGGUUUGGUCUCAUAACUUUGACCCUUUCACACUAUAUUUUCACUUAAUGACAGUUUAUUUGAAAGUUUUGUUCAGUAAAAUGUCUUGUUCAGCGUGUGGUUGGACUAACAGACACUCCAAGGAGUCGCUGCUCAGUUUUCUGAGGGAGAGUUGAAAGAUACUGCACAGCGGCUGGUGUCCUUGCUGCAGAGUGCCCUGUCUGGGACAGCACCUAGAAACAAUUUGGAAAACCAACAUCAGAGUGGUGG
Long non-coding RNA from Centropristis striata (black sea bass), 510 nucleotides. RefSeq lists it as uncharacterized. The transcript is spliced from 3 exons. The record is from RefSeq and is a predicted model, not a curated record. Lineage: Eukaryota; Metazoa; Chordata; Actinopteri; Perciformes; Serranidae.